AAGUAGUUUAUCUAAGUAUAGGAAACAUUAAGUCUAUUUUAACAACUUGAGCUUGUAUAUAUAGACAAGAGAUACUCAGUCUUCAUAUUAGUAACAAACUAUUCUUCAAAAACUCAACAUGAAUUCAAAGGUAGUAAUUGUUAGUGUUGCCGUCCUCGCCUGCGUCGUCUUGUGUCAGGCUGACGUACCAAGAAGAACUCGUGCCGCAACAGAAGACACGUCUGCUACUCUACCCAACGUUAAAGAAUUCACAGAGUUGUUCGAACAAAUUCAGAAUAAUCCUUCUGAAUUCUUUACUACCAUAUCUAAGGCUUUUAAGAAGAGAUUCGGCUCCCUCAGCGGAGGUUUAAGUAAUACUGGCACAAGCAAGUAACUGGCGUGAAUUAAUGACUUCAUAUAUACCAUGCUUGUAAUGUAAUUAAAUAAAAUAAUAUAUCGUGCA
Leptidea sinapis is the source of this 442-nucleotide long non-coding RNA. RefSeq lists it as uncharacterized. The transcript is spliced from 2 exons. NCBI's taxonomy places the organism in Eukaryota, Metazoa, Arthropoda, Insecta, Lepidoptera, Pieridae. The record is from RefSeq and is a predicted model, not a curated record.